Long non-coding RNA from Fundulus heteroclitus (mummichog), 372 nucleotides. RefSeq lists it as uncharacterized. The transcript has 2 exons. The record is from RefSeq and is a predicted model, not a curated record. Lineage: Eukaryota; Metazoa; Chordata; Actinopteri; Cyprinodontiformes; Fundulidae.
GCUUCGUGACUUUAAGCAUCUUUUAUGUAACUCCUCCCAUCAGCGGUCAGCUGACUUUCAACAAAGAUAUUCUGCCGCCGUUGUCUACUGCAUGAAGAUAACAACAUAGCUAGGUGUUUUCUCUUUAUUUGGACCCUCCAAGCUGCUCCUGCUCCCGUUCCGACCCGCAGCUCCAGUUCCAGCGCCGACAAAGCUGAUGUCCAGCAAACGCAGCACUCUCCCUUCUCAAAUGUCUUAUUUAAGGAACGUAAACAUGUAUAUACCUUGAGUUGUUUGCUCUGGGUUAAAGGGAAGCUUGCCCUGUUUUGCUUUUUUAUAAACAGUUUGUAUUGAUCUGCUGUUACUAAUAAAAACAUUAAUUACCAACGUGAA